CACAGAUGCUCUCUAGAGACCAGGGUCUCAUGCCCUUGAUUCUGAGGGCCCCGGGCUUGCUGGAUGGGGGUUCACCAGGUAUCAUCCCGUUUCUGGUUGGAGCAAGGGACCUUGCCUCGCUAUUGAAAGCGCGCUGCUUUACUUCGAUUCUCCCCAUAAUCUCCGGAAUGAAGAGCAAGCGGUCCGGGCCGGGUGCGGUGGCUCAUGUCUGUAAUCCCGGCACUUCCGCAGGCCAAGGCAGGAGGAUCGCUGGAGCCCAGCCUGGGCAAAAUAGCAAGACCCCCUGUCUCUACCAAAAAAAAAAAAAAAAAAAAAAAGGCGGGGGUGGGGGGAUGGUUAACAAGCUGGGCAUGGUGGCGCACGCCGGUAGUUCCAGCUACUCGGUAGGCUGAGGUGGGAGGAUGGCUUGAGCCCAGGAUGUCCAGGCUGUGGUGAGCCAUGAUCACGCCACAGCACUCCAGCCUGGGCAACAGAGCGAGACCCUGU
This 486-nucleotide long non-coding RNA is filed under the name Homo sapiens (human). RNAcentral describes it as "HSALNT0175988". The record is from RNAcentral. Lineage: Eukaryota; Metazoa; Chordata; Mammalia; Primates; Hominidae.